This 328-nucleotide ribosomal RNA is filed under the name uncultured eukaryote. Its description in RNAcentral is "partial 18S ribosomal RNA". It matches the Rfam family "Eukaryotic small subunit ribosomal RNA", at positions 1470 to 1796 of the family's 1831-position model. The record is from RNAcentral.
CCCUUCGAUGUCCUGGGCCGCACGCGGGUUACACUGAGUUUGACAAAAGGUCUAAGUUUGUUGCUUAACAGACGUUCCUUGGCCGGAAGGCCCGGGUAAUCCCAUCAUCAAACUCGUGCUAGGGAUAGAGCUUUGCAAUUCUAGCUCUUGAACCAGGAAUGCCUUGUAGGUGCGAGUCAUCAACUCGCGCCGAAUACGUCCCCGCCGUUUGUACACACCGCCCGUCGCUACAACCGAUGGUCGGCUUAGUGAGUAUUUUAGAGGAUCAGCGCAAGCUGAUGCGAAGAAACGCGAACUUAUCUGACUAGAGGAUGUAAAAGUCGUAACA